Molecule: long non-coding RNA, 1401 nt
Organism: Raphanus sativus (radish)
Lineage: Eukaryota; Viridiplantae; Streptophyta; Magnoliopsida; Brassicales; Brassicaceae
Exons: 12
Source: RefSeq, a predicted model, not a curated record
CCGACAAUCAAUUUUUUAAAAACAUCUUCUAAUUCUAAAUUUCAGACAAAAAAAAAUAAAAAGACAACAAUUGAAUCGUUCAUCGACUGUAUCGACUCUGCUGCUUUCCAGAAUCUGAGACGAAGUUAUUGUACCAAAGAUUUAAUAGUAUGGAUCCGAUGAAAGAGAAGAGUAUUGGAUACAUGAAAACACAGAUCUUGCUGUACUCGGCCGUUUUGGAGAGCAGAUGAAGAUGGCGUGAAAUGUGACAGAAGAUGAAAAUCAGAUCUGCAAGGUGUGGGGAUGCCUCCAGAGAUAUGUAAAACGUGUAUAUCACAACUUCAAAGGAAAGACCAAGAGUUGUUAUUCAGGAAGUGCAAUAGCACCUAAACAACAAAAGAUAAGUUUACUUGCUCAAUAUCAUUGUUAAUAUAGUUUCAAUUUUUAAAAACUUCAUGGUUCCAAUCUUUAUUAAUUUAUAUAUUAUAUAUAUCAGAUGGUUAAAAUUAGUUAUAUUCUUUUACAGUGGUUAUGAAGAUGAUACCGAGUUUAUGAAGAUAAUGGAAUAGCUUUGAAAUUAUAAAAAGAAGCACACAUGGGUUUGUAUAUGGGAUAGACAACAAAAUGGAGAUAAGGAGCAUAACGGUUCUGAGAUGAGGAAUCACUAUGGAACAUCUAUUACGUAAAUUAAAAGUAGCCCAUACUUGUGGAAGCUACAUAUGGUGUUUGUGAAAGCGUGCCAAAUCUGGAAGAAGAUAUAGGUGGACUCUGAACAAUUUGCGAACCAAUACCACCACUUUGAGGUACAUAUAGAUGCGAGAUGUGAGGUGUACAAAAAAACACAAUAAGAAAAAUCAAUUACUCUUCAGAUGAGAUGGUUGAUCAUGGGAUAACACUGGUUUCUUUGGAUUUUUCAUCGAUGAUUGAUCUACUACUGCAUAGUCCCGCAAAACCCUUACGUGAGCUAAGGCGUAGCUUCGUAGCAGAAGUGGUAUCUGGAACCUCAAUAAUCUCUUCUCCUGAUCGCUUAGAAGGAGUGGCCAUCUUGACAGAGCUUUCAUCACUCUCCGAUUUUUGCAAAACGGAUGAGACAAACAACCACUCCAAACUGUGCUUCCUCUCUGUGAGAUUCCAUCUCCUCAGCAAACUUCCCCCACAAACAACAUGCUACUUACGUUGCAGAUAUAUCCAAAAUGCUAUCAUUAAAAGAAGUUGACUUAGAUAAACGUAACGGUAUUGCGCAGCCAUGUGUACGUUUGGUUACGCACUACUUCUGACGUCACAGCACAUCUUUUUUUUUUGAAAAUGUCACAGUACAUCUUACGUUAUCUUUGAUUAAAAUUAGUAUGAUUAUUAGGGGUGUACGUAGAUCGAAUACUACCAUAAUUCUUAGUAUUUCAGAUUUAUUUCGGAUUUUAUGAA